RNAcentral lists this transfer RNA (69 nucleotides) under Diapteron cyanostictum (Gabon jewelfish). RNAcentral's name for it is "Aphyosemion cyanostictum (Gabon jewelfish) tRNA-Gly". The record is from RNAcentral. Lineage: Eukaryota; Metazoa; Chordata; Actinopteri; Cyprinodontiformes; Nothobranchiidae.
AUCUUUCUAGUAUAUUUAGUAUUAGUGACUUCCAAUCACUUGGGCUUGGUUAAAACCCAAGGAAAGAUA